AUGAGAAACCUUAAGAAGCAUGCUUUGAAAAACUACAGAAGGCUCCUUGGAUCUGCCACACAUUUUUUGGGGGGAUGCUCUUCUCUUUGUGGGUUUUUCAUCUUUUUUUUUUUGUUUUUGUUUUUUUUUUUUUUUUUUUUUUUUUGGAACUAUGAAGAAUUAAAAAAGAGCUCAGACAUUUUUCUUUUUUUAACUGGUGAAGAGAAAAAACUGAAAAGAAAUAUACCUUUUUUGUUCCAUUUGUUUGCACUGUGUGCUGACUGAACAUUAGUUGCACUAACUGCUGGUUUUUAAAAAAUGUUUUCUGGGGAAAGGGGACAAGGAAGGAGGAAAAAGAAGAGAAGAAGAGAAACCCUAAAAAGAGAAGACUCUUAUUCUUGAUGAACACACAAGCUUGUCUACAUCUUCAGAAUUCUUCAACAGCUGACUUUCGAGUGCAUUUCAACUUCUCCCUGAUUAUCCAUCCGUUUUUAAGCCCGAAGAGCUUAUUACUUAUUUGUGCGAAGUGCCUUAUGCUAUGAGACCAUUCAGAAUAUCAUCUUUUAGACACAGCCCAAGGAAUCAACAAAAUAAUUUUUUUUCUUUUUAAAAUUUUUGUCUGUUUAUUUUGGUUUCAAGUUGAAGUGUCUCUCUUCCCAUUCUACCCAGUUCUACCCAGUACUCGAGCCCAGGGCUGGAAGAUGAAACUUACUAGUAACGUUAAACACCAUUAUCUUUUUCUUUACGUGGAGGAGUUGAUAUGCAACUGCAGUUCAUCCGCACUGUAAAUACAUGUAUUUAAAAAACAAUCUGGGCUGAGUAGAUACAACACCUUCGCUCCCAAAGGAAAGAGCAGUCUAUCAUUGCAGGAGCCAUAUGACAAGCCUUUGUGCUCUAUCGCAGAACACUAAAGACUGGUUUACAUACGCCUCCAUUAGCAGUAUGGCACUUGAUGUGUAGACAUGUCAGAGCCUUGACCCUCUUUCCUCUGUGGCAAAGUGUAUCCCAUAGAAAAUUGGGUGUGUAUACUUGUAUAAACUUUGUAAAUAAGUUUUUUUCUGGUUCAUAUAUAUAUAUAUAUAUUAUAUAUUAUAUAUAUAUAUUAUUUUUUUUUUUGGAUGAAGGUUGCUGGGAUUAAGGGGAUUAGAGUGAUUAUGGGAGCAGCUAAAGAUGAGAGGGGCUCAGUUUCCGCAACACUAAUUCUAGAAAGUACUUUGGCCUGUUACUGUAGAGACAGACCUCUGUGGGAUCCAUGUGUAGAAAAAGGGACCAAAAGUCUGGGAUG
RNAcentral lists this long non-coding RNA (1264 nucleotides) under Castor canadensis (American beaver). RNAcentral describes it as "lncRNA (ENSCCNG00000023130.1)". Lineage: Eukaryota; Metazoa; Chordata; Mammalia; Rodentia; Castoridae. The record is from RNAcentral.